AAUCAAAAAAAAAAAAAAAAAAAAUAAAACAAAAAACCAACCAACCAAAAAACAAACAUGGCCUUCUUCUCCUUUCAUUUUUUCC
RNAcentral lists this non-coding RNA (85 nucleotides) under uncultured Mamiellales. Lineage: Eukaryota; Viridiplantae; Chlorophyta; Mamiellophyceae; Mamiellales. The record is from RNAcentral.